UACAGAGGGGGCAAGCGUUGUUCGGAAUUACUGGGCGUAAAGGGCGCGUAGGCGGCCGACUAAGUCAGACGUGAAAUCCCCAGGCUCAACCUGGGAACUGCGUCUGAUACUGGCUGGCUCGAAUCCGGGAGGGGGAUGUGGAAUUCCAGGUGUAGCGGUGAAAUGCGUAGAUAUCUGGAGGAACACCGGUGGCGAAGGCGGCAUCCUGGACCGGUAUUGACGCUGAGGCGCGAAAGCCAGGGGAGCAAACGGG
This 253-nucleotide unclassified non-coding RNA is filed under the name uncultured Acidobacteriota bacterium. RNAcentral describes it as "uncultured Acidobacteria bacterium contains 16S-23S intergenic spacer region". It matches the Rfam family "Bacterial small subunit ribosomal RNA", at positions 524 to 776 of the family's 1533-position model. Lineage: Bacteria; Pseudomonadati; Acidobacteriota. The record is from RNAcentral.